Molecule: ribosomal RNA, 1492 nt
Filed under: metagenome
Description: bacterial SSU rRNA
Rfam family: Bacterial small subunit ribosomal RNA
Source: RNAcentral
AGAGUUUGAUCCUGGCUCAGAUUGAACGCUGGCGGCAUGCCUUACACAUGCAAGUCGAACGGUAACGCGGGGGCAACCCUGGCGACGAGUGGCGAACGGGUGAGUAAUACAUCGGAACAUAUCCAGUAGCGGGGGAUAACCUAUCGAAAGAUGGACUAAUACCGCAUACGAUCUACGGAUGAAAGCUGGGGACCGCAAGGCCUUGCACUAUUGGAGUGGCCGAUGUCGGAUUAGCUAGUUGGUGGGGUAAAGGCUUACCAAGGCGACGAUCCGUAGCUGGUCUGAGAGUACGAUCAGCCACACUGGAACUGAGACACGGUCCAGACUCCUACGGGAGGCAGCAGUGGGGAAUUUUGGACAAUGGGCGCAAGCCUGAUCCAGCCAUGCCGCGUGAGUGAAGAAGGCCUUCGGGUUGUAAAGCUCUUUCGGUGAAGACGAAACGGUUAGCGCUAAUAACGCUGACUAAUGACGGUACUCACAGAAGAAGCACCGGCUAACUACGUGCCAGCAGCCGCGGUAAUACGUAGGGUGCAGGCGUUAAUCGGAAUUACUGGGCGUAAAGCGUGCGCAGGCGGUUUGCUAAGACAGGUGUGAAAUCCCCGGGCUUAACCUGGGAAUUGCGCUUGUAACUGGCAAGCUAGAGUGUGGCAGAGGGGGUGGAAUUCCACGUGUAGCAGUGAAAUGCGUAGAUAUGUGGAGGAACACCGAUGGCGAAGGCAGCCCCCUGGGUUAACACUGACGCUCAUGCACGAAAGCGUGGGGAGCAAACAGGAUUAGAUACCCUGGUAGUCCACGCCCUAAACUAUGUCAACUAGUUGUCGGGGAAGAAAUUCCUUGGUAACGAAGCUAACGCGUGAAGUUGACCGCCUGGGGAGUACGGCCGCAAGGUUAAAACUCAAAGGAAUUGACGGGGACCCGCACAAGCGGUGGAUUAUGUGGAUUAAUUCGAUGCAACGCGAAAAACCUUACCUACCCUUGACAUGCUAGGAAGCCCGCAGAGAUGUGGGUGUGCCCGAAAGGGAACCUAGACACAGGUGCUGCAUGGCUGUCGUCAGCUCGUGUCGUGAGAUGUUGGGUUAAGUCCCGCAACGAGCGCAGCCCUUGCCAUUAGUUGCUACAUUCAGUUGGGCACUCUAAUGGGACCGCCGGUGACAAACCGGAGGAAGGUGGGGAUGACGUCAAGUCCUCAUGGCCCUUAUGGGUAGGGCUUCACACGUAAUACAAUGGUCGGUACAGAGGGCUGCCAACCCGCAAGGGGGAGCUAAUCCCAGAAAGCCGAUCGUAGUCCGGAUUGUAGUCUGCAACUCGACUGCAUGAAGCCGGAAUCGCUAGUAAUCGCGGAUCAGCAUGUCGCGGUGAAUACGUUCCCGGGUCUUGUACACACCGCCCGUCACACCAUGGGAGUGGGUUCCACCAGAAGUAGUUAGCCUAACCGCAAGGAGGGCGAUUACCACGGUGAGAUUCAUGACUGGGGUGAAGUCGUAACAAGGUA